This 465-nucleotide ribosomal RNA is filed under the name uncultured bacterium. RNAcentral describes it as "partial 16S ribosomal RNA". It matches the Rfam family "Bacterial small subunit ribosomal RNA", at positions 338 to 795 of the family's 1533-position model. The record is from RNAcentral.
CCUACGGGAGGCAGCAGUGGGGAAUAUUGCGCAAUGGGCGCAAGCCUGACGCAGCGACGCCGCGUGUGUGAUGAAGGUCUUCGGAUCGUAAACCUCUUUCAGCGGGGAAGAACGGUCACUGUGCUAAUCAGCAGUGCAUUGACGGUACCUGCAAAGGAAGCACCGGCUAACUCCGUGCCAGCAGCCGCGGUAAUACGGAGGGUGCGAGCGUUAAUCGGAAUUACUGGGCGUAAAGCGCUCGUAGGCGGUAUGUCAAGUCAAGGGUGAAAUCCCCGCGCUCAACGUGGGAACUGCCUUUGAAACUGGCAAACUGGAGUGUCUGAGAGGAUAGUGGAAUUCCAGGUGUAGGAGUGAAAUCCGUAGAUAUCUGGAGGAACAUCAGUGGCGAAGGCGACCACCUGGCACAUAACUGACGCUGAGGAGCGAAAGCGUGGGUAGCAAACAGGAUUAGAUACCCUGGUAGUC